Molecule: ribosomal RNA, 989 nt
Filed under: human gut metagenome
Description: bacterial LSU rRNA
Rfam family: Bacterial large subunit ribosomal RNA
Source: RNAcentral
AACUAUAACGGUCCUAAGGUAGCGAAAUUCCUUGUCAGGUAAGUUCUGACCCGCACGAAAGGCGUAACGAUUUGGGCGCUGUCUCAGCUGUAGACUCGGUGAAGUCUUAGUACCUGUGAAGAUGCAGGUUACCCGCGACUAGACGGAAAGACCCCAUGGAGCUUCACUGCAGGUUGAUAUUGGGAUUUGAUGCAGCAUGUACAGGAUAGGUAGGAGGCAAAGAGAUGGAUACGCCAGUAUUCAAGGAGCCGCUGUUGGGAUACUACCCCUGUUGUAUUGGAUUUCUAACCGGACGACGUAGAGCCGUUGACGGGACAGUGUCAGUCGGGCAGUUUGACUGGGGCGGUCGCCUCCCAAAGAGUAACGGAGGCGCCCAAAGAUACCCUCAGCUUGGAUGGAAACCAAGCGCAGAGUGCAAAGGCAAAAGGGUGUUUGACUGCGAGACCCACAAGUCGAGCAGGGACGAAAGUCGGGCUUAGUGAUCCGGCGGUGCUGAAUGGAAAGGCCGUCGCUCAACGGAUAAAAGCUACCCUGGGGAUAACAGGCUGAUCUCCCCCAAGAGUCCACAUCGACGGGGAGGUUUGGCACCUCGAUGUCGGCUCAUCGCAUCCUGGGGCUGAAUUCGGUCCCAAGGGUUUGGCUGUUCGCCAAUUAAAGCGGUACGCGAGCUGGGUUCAGAACGUCGUGAGACAGUUCGGUCCCUAUCUGUCGUGGGCGCAGGAAAUUUGAGAAGAGCUGUCCUCAGUACGAGAGGACCGGGAUGGACGCAUCAAUGGUGGACCAGUUGUCACGCCAGUGGCAUAGCUGGGUAGCUAAAUGCGGAAGGGAUAAACGCUGAAGGCAUCUAAGUGUGAAACCCACUUCAAGAUGAGAUUUCCCAUUGCGCAAGCAAGUAAGACCCCUUAAAGACGAUAAGGUAGAUAGGUCAGGAGUGUAAGCAUGGUGACAUGUUAAGCGGACUGAUACUAAUAGGUCGAGGGCUUGACCGA